CCUACGGGGGGCAGCAGUGAGGAAUAUUGGUCAAUGGGCGCGAGCCUGAACCAGCCAAGUCGCGUGAAUGAUGAAGGUCUUCGGAUUGUAAAGUUCUUUUCUAAGGGAAGAAGAAAGUGACGGUACCUUAGGAAUAAGCCUCGGCUAACUACGUGCCAGCAGCCGCGGUAAUACGUAGGAGGCGAGCGUUAUCCGGAAUGACUGGGCGUAAAGGGUGCGUAGGUGGUUUGGCAAGUUAGUAGCGUAACUCCAAGGCUCAACCUUGGAACUACUACUAAAACUGUUGGACUUGAGUGCAGGAGGGGCAACCGGAAUUCCUAGUGUAGCGGUGGAAUGCGUAGAUAUUAGGAGGAACACCAGUGGCGAAGGCGGGUUGCUAGACUGUAACUGACACUGAGGCACGAAAGCGUGGGGAGCAAACAGGAUUAGAUACCCGAGUAGUC
RNAcentral lists this ribosomal RNA (443 nucleotides) under uncultured bacterium. Its description in RNAcentral is "partial 16S ribosomal RNA". It matches the Rfam family "Bacterial small subunit ribosomal RNA", at positions 338 to 795 of the family's 1533-position model. The record is from RNAcentral.